GUGUGUAUAGCUCAGUGGUAGAGCAUGUGCUUAGCAUAUGCGAGGUCCUGAGUUCAAUUCCCAUUACCUACA
Molecule: transfer RNA, 72 nt
Filed under: Camelus ferus (Wild Bactrian camel)
Lineage: Eukaryota; Metazoa; Chordata; Mammalia; Artiodactyla; Camelidae
Rfam family: tRNA
About the family: Transfer RNA (tRNA) molecules are approximately 80 nucleotides in length. Their secondary structure includes four short double-helical elements and three loops (D, anti-codon, and T loops).
Source: Rfam by way of RNAcentral